GGCUUGGCUGGGUGGUCCGCUUAACGGCGUGUACUGUCUGGCUGGGUCUUACCUCUUGGUGAACUGGUGUGACCUUUAUUGGUUGCAUUAGGGAACCAGGACUUUUACCUUGAGAAAAUUAGAGUGUUCAAAGCAGGCAAAGCCUGAAUACAUUAGCAUGGAAUAAUAAAAUAGGACGUUCGAUCCUAUUUUGUUGGUUUCUAGGAUUGACGUA
RNAcentral lists this ribosomal RNA (214 nucleotides) under uncultured fungus. RNAcentral's name for it is "partial small subunit ribosomal RNA". The stretch from base 47 to 214 matches the Rfam family "Eukaryotic small subunit ribosomal RNA", at positions 694 to 864 of the family's 1831-position model. The record is from RNAcentral. Lineage: Eukaryota; Fungi.